This 231-nucleotide ribosomal RNA is filed under the name uncultured Staphylococcus sp. RNAcentral's name for it is "partial 16S ribosomal RNA". It matches the Rfam family "Bacterial small subunit ribosomal RNA", at positions 109 to 334 of the family's 1533-position model. The record is from RNAcentral. Lineage: Bacteria; Bacillati; Bacillota; Bacilli; Caryophanales; Staphylococcaceae.
AGUAACACGUGGGUGAUCUGCCCUGCACUUCGGGAUAAGCUUGGGAAACUGGGUCUAAUACCGGAUAAUAUUUUGAACCGCAUGGUUCAAAAGUGAAAGACGGUCUUGCUGUCACUUAUAGAUGGAUCCGCGCUGCAUUAGCUAGUUGGUAAGGUAACGGCUUACCAAGGCAACGAUGCGUAGCCGACCUGAGAGGGUGAUCGGCCACACUGGAACUGAGACACGGUCCAG